Molecule: ribosomal RNA, 115 nt
Filed under: Pteropus alecto (black flying fox)
Lineage: Eukaryota; Metazoa; Chordata; Mammalia; Chiroptera; Pteropodidae
Source: RNAcentral
GUCAAUGGCCAUGCCACCCUGAAGCCCAGUCUCGUCUGAUCUCAGACGCUAAGCAGGGUCGGACCUCGUUAGUACUUGAGUGGGAAACCACUAAGAAUACCAGGUGCUGUAGGCA